CUUUGUCUAUGAGCAAGUGCGCACUGGCAUAAAAUGCACUAGGUGGCUUUUUGGAUCUUCUCUCCCCCCGUAUUGUCCGCCUCAACCUGUAUUGUCCGUGGUAAUAAAGCGUUCAUGCUGGUAUCCCGUAAUACUCCAAUAGCUGUUUCUUUUUAUGGAAAUCCCUAAUAGGACCCAAGUUUUCAGUUAAUAAUUACAAGCUGCAGGAAGAGAACCUACACCUGUCCCCAAACCGGAUUCCCA
This is a non-coding RNA of Pelobates cultripes (western spadefoot toad), 243 nucleotides long. NCBI's taxonomy places the organism in Eukaryota, Metazoa, Chordata, Amphibia, Anura, Pelobatidae. The record is from the annotation of a GenBank genome assembly.